Molecule: long non-coding RNA, 339 nt
Organism: Astyanax mexicanus (Mexican tetra)
Lineage: Eukaryota; Metazoa; Chordata; Actinopteri; Characiformes; Acestrorhamphidae
Exons: 2
Source: RefSeq, a predicted model, not a curated record
UAAGCCAAACUUAACGAGCAGUCCGGAGGUGUUGCUUGGUAAACGUUGCAACAGGGAACCAUCUUCAAGCAGAAAACGCAUCAGGCUGGAAGACAGCUGCAUACUGUUAGAUACAGAUUUGAACAACGCUGGACAGUCUACGAAUGGAGAAAGUGUGUUGCGCAAUGAUGUCCAGGAUGUUUUAAACAAGGACGAAUGGUCGGAGGAUUUGACGGACAUCUGGGAUCAGAACAGUUUCAGCGAACCAGUCGAAAAAACUGUUGCUGCCGCACCACCGAAUGUUGGAAUAAACGCUUCGGACAAACACAGAGACACUGACGCAAAUGAGUUACGAUCAAA